GUAUGACCCUUGGACAUCUGGGUGCUGUUUCCCUGCCCCAUCUUUCAGAUUGGACCUCUCCACUAUCAAUUCUUGCUGAACCAAGCUCAAGGUCACCCAUGCCUCCUUGAAUAGGUUACAUUGGAUUUUCAAUUAUUGUCUUCAGAGACUUCUUCAGUUGUGCAAACAUCUCUCCACUCUUCUGGCAAGCAGUGCUAAAGAAUACUUAAAGAACAUCUUAUGAUUCCCACAGCCCAAAAAGCUAUCAGAAGACUCCAAGAGGCCAUACCAUGACGAUUUCAGAAAAGACUUUGUGAGGUCAAAAAUACACACACUAAACCACCAAGGCAGAGCUGGAAAGGGGAGUAGAAAAGCAGAUAAAACAAGUGACCUUACAGACAGUUUUCUGCUGUCUCCUGCAGAGAGAAAUCUUUUUCCUCUCAGGUCUUCCAGAGCUCUAUUCCCUGUCUUCAAGGGGGUCAUGGGAGAAAGAAGCAAUCAAGAGAAGAAAUAAACCACGGAGAAUAGGAAUCAAUAUUUACCUUUAAAAAUCUAAAUAAAGGUAAUAGAAUUUUCAGGUUCAUCCCUGGCAUAGACAUUAAAAUGUGAGGUUUUCCUCAAAAAUAGCCAUAUAAAGUAUUUGUAU
Molecule: long non-coding RNA, 625 nt
Filed under: Equus caballus (horse)
Lineage: Eukaryota; Metazoa; Chordata; Mammalia; Perissodactyla; Equidae
Description: lncRNA (ENSECAG00000051228.1)
Source: RNAcentral